RNAcentral lists this unclassified non-coding RNA (336 nucleotides) under soil metagenome. RNAcentral describes it as "partial contains 5.8S ribosomal RNA, internal transcribed spacer 2, and large subunit ribosomal RNA". The stretch from base 1 to 120 matches the Rfam family "5.8S ribosomal RNA", at positions 35 to 154 of the family's 154-position model. The record is from RNAcentral.
GAUGAAGAACGCAGCGAAAUGCGAUAAGUAGUGUGAAUUGCAGAAUUCAGUGAAUCAUCGAAUCUUUGAACGCACAUUGCGCCUCUUGGUAUUCCAUGGGGCAUGCCUGUUCGAGCGUCAUUUGUACCUUCAAGCUUUGCUUGGUGUUGGGUGUUUGUCUCGCCUUUGCGUGUAGACUCGCCUUAAAAUAAUUGGCAGCCGGCGUAUUGAUUUCGGAGCGCAGUACAUCUCGCGCUUUGCACUCAUAACGACAGCGUCCAAAAGUACAUUUUACACUCUUGACCUCGGAUCAGGUAGGGAUACCCGCUGAACUUAAGCAUAUCAAUAAGCGGAGGA